This 215-nucleotide ribosomal RNA is filed under the name uncultured Glomus. Its description in RNAcentral is "partial small subunit ribosomal RNA". The stretch from base 36 to 215 matches the Rfam family "Eukaryotic small subunit ribosomal RNA", at positions 683 to 864 of the family's 1831-position model. Lineage: Eukaryota; Fungi; Glomeromycota; Glomeromycetes; Glomerales; Glomeraceae. The record is from RNAcentral.
GGGUCAGUAUGUUGGUCGUGCUUCGGUACGUACUGUCAUUACUGGUUUCUCCCUUCUGAAGAACCUUGAUGUCAUUAAUUUGGUGUCUUGGGGAAUCAGGACUGUUACUUUGAAAAAAUUAGAGUGUUUAAAGCAGGCAUACGCUUGAAUACAUUAGCAUGGAAUAAUGAAAUAGGACGUUUGAUUCUAUUUUGUUGGUUUCUAGGAUCGACGUA